This 1236-nucleotide ribosomal RNA is filed under the name metagenome. RNAcentral's name for it is "bacterial LSU rRNA". It matches the Rfam family "Bacterial large subunit ribosomal RNA", at positions 1564 to 2808 of the family's 2925-position model. The record is from RNAcentral.
UGAGUACGAGAUGCUACGGCAUCGAAGCAGUCUAUGUCAUACUUCCAAGAAAAGCUUGCAAUGUCAUAAACAAAUAAUGCCUGUACCAUAACCGACACAGGUGGGUAGGUAGAGUAUACUAAGGGGCGCGAGAUAACUCUCUCUAAGGAACUCGGCAAAAUGACUCCGUAACUUCGGGAGAAGGAGUGCCUUAUCUUUAUAAGGUUGCAAUAACAAGGUCCAAGCAACUGUUUACCAAAAACACAGGUCUCCGCUAAGUCGUAAGACGAUGUAUGGGGGCUGACGCCUGCCCAGUGCCAGAAGGUUAAAGAAGUUGGUUAGCAUUAGCGAAGCUGAUAACUGAAGCCCUGGUGAACGGCGGCCGUAACGAUAACGGUCCUAAGGUAGCGAAAUUCCUUGUCGGGUAAGUUCCGACCCGCACGAAAGGCGUAAUGAUUUGGAUACUGUCUCGGAGAGGGGCUCGGUGAAAUAGACUUGUCUGUGAAGAUGCGGACUACCUGCACCUGGACAGAAAGACCCUAUGAAGCUUUACUGUAACUUGAGAUUGAAAUUGGACUUUAUCUGCGCAGUAUAGGUGGGAGACGUUGAAAAUAUUCUUGCGGGAAUAUUGGAGUCAUCAGUGAGAUACCACUCUUAUAAUGUUAGAUUUCUAACUUUGUAUCAUUAUCUGGUCAAAGAACAGUUUCAGGCGGGCAGUUUGACUGGGGCGGUCGCCUCCCAAACGGUAACGGAUGCGCACAAAGGUUUCCUCUGAACGUGUAGAAAUCGUAUCUAGAGUGUAAAGGCAUAAGGAAGCUUGACUGUGAGACCUACAAGUCGAGCAGGGACGAAAGUCGGUCUUAGUGAUCUGACGGUGCUGAGUGGAAAGGCCGUCACUCAACGGAUAAAAGUUACUCUAGGAUAACAGGCUGAUCUCCCCCAAGAGUUCACAUCGACAGGGAGGUUUGGCACCUCGAUGUCGGCUCAUCGCAUCCUGGGGCGGUAGUACGUCCCAAGGGUUGGGCUGUUCGCCCAUGAAAGCGGUACGCGAGCUGGGUUCAGAACGUCGUGAGACAGUUCGGUCCAUAUCCGGUGUAGGCGUUAGAAUAUUGAGAGGAGCCUUCUUUAGUACGAGAGGACCGAGAAGGACAUACCUCUGGUGUACCAGUUAUCGUGCCAACGGUAAACGCUGGGUAGCCAUGUAUGGAGAGGAUAACCGCUGAAAGCAUCCAAGUGGGAAGCCCACCUCAAGAUAAG